UGCCAGUAAGUCUCCACAAGCUCUCCAAUGAUAGACCCGAUACAAGCACAAUUAACACAGAUCCAAACCCAGAAGCAGCUUCAAAGGAAGAAAUCAAUUGCCACAGAACAACAAACCAGAAGAGAACCAGUCCAGGAACACAAAUAAAGAAUAGCUUUGAGUCAAGCAGGUCAUGAUAAAAAGAAUUCUAAUGUAUCAGCAGCCCAAAUUGGAUUUGCCGAGAAGAUGAUUUUGAGCAUUUUGCAGUUGUAAGAACCUAUCAUGGGGUAGAGCUUUUCCUUUUCUUCUUCCUCUUCCUUUU
Molecule: unclassified non-coding RNA, 301 nt
Filed under: Hevea brasiliensis (rubber tree)
Lineage: Eukaryota; Viridiplantae; Streptophyta; Magnoliopsida; Malpighiales; Euphorbiaceae
Source: RNAcentral